GAUGAACGCUGGCGGCAUGUCUAAUACAUGCAAGUCGAGCGAACGGACGAGAAGCUUGCUUCUCUGAUGUUAGCGGCGGACGGGUGAGUAACACGUGGAUAACCUACCUAUAAGACUGGGAUAACUUCGGGAAACCGGAGCUAAUACCGGAUAAUAUUUUGAACCGCAUGGUUCAAAAGUGAAAGACGGUCUUGCUGUCACUUAUAGAUGGAUCCGCGCUGCAUUAGCUAGUUGGUAAGGUAACGGCUUACCAAGGCAACGAUGCAUAGCCGACCUGAGAGGGUGAUCGGCCACACUGGAACUGAGACACGGUCCAGACUCCUACGGGAGGCAGCAGUAGGGAAUCUUCCGCAAUGGGCGAAAGCCUGACGGAGCAACGCCGCGUGAGUGAUGAAGGUCUUCGGAUCGUAAAACUCUGUUAUUAGGGAAGAACAUAUGUGUAAGUAACUGUGCACAUCUUGACGGUACCUAAUCAGAAAGCCACGGCUAACUACGUG
This 497-nucleotide ribosomal RNA is filed under the name uncultured bacterium. RNAcentral's name for it is "partial 16S ribosomal RNA". It matches the Rfam family "Bacterial small subunit ribosomal RNA", at positions 28 to 507 of the family's 1533-position model. The record is from RNAcentral.